This 467-nucleotide ribosomal RNA is filed under the name uncultured bacterium. RNAcentral's name for it is "partial 16S ribosomal RNA". It matches the Rfam family "Bacterial small subunit ribosomal RNA", at positions 28 to 507 of the family's 1533-position model. The record is from RNAcentral.
GACGAACGCUGGCGGCGUGCUUAACACAUGCAAGUCGAACGGAAAGGCCUCUUUCGGGGGGUACUCGAGUGGCGAACGGGUGAGUAACACGUGAGUAACCUUCCCUUGACUUUGGGAUAACUUCAGGAAACUUGGGCUAAUACCGGAUAGGAGCUCCUGCUUCAUGGUGGGGGUUGGAACGCUUCGGCGGUUGGGGAUGGACUCGCGGCUUAUCAGCUUGUUGGUGGGGUAGUGGCUUACCAAGGCUUUGACGGGUAGCCGGCCUGAGAGGGUGAACGGCGACAUUGGGACUGAGAUACGGCCCAGACGCCUACGGGAGGCAGCAGUGGGGAAUAUUGCACAAUGGGUGGAAGCCUGAUGCAGCAACGCCGGGUGCGGGAUGACGGCCUUCGGGUUGUAAACCGCUUUCGCUCAUGACGAAGCUUUGUGUGACGGUAGUGGGUAAAGAAGCACCGGCUAACUACGUG